CUAAAAAUUAUACUGAGGUGGGUAUCUCAGCUCAAAAAAGACAAAUGUAAGCAUGUUCUGUCUCUUAUGCAGAUUCUGGCCCCUGAUAUUAUAUUUUGUGCAUCUCAGAGCAGAAGUGGAAGUCAGGCAACUAGGAAACACCAUGGGGAGAAGACACAUUAAGUUAAAUAUUAGAGUCUGGUAUGUUAAAGUAGUCUUUAAUGAGGAGGAACUAAAGAUGAAUAUAAUGCAGUCCUGUUUUCUAUGGAGGAGAUUAUCAUCUCAUUAUGAGGGAGAAGAAUACAAGCCACAAUCCUUCGUCUCUACUCUUCCUAUGCUACAAAUAUUCAAAGACAGGAAUAAUUAUGGGUCAGAGGUAUAUCGGACAUUCUUAAAAUGACAAUACUGUACAGGAAGAAUAAUGUAAAUCACCAUUAACUAGAAUCCUGACA
This 431-nucleotide long non-coding RNA is filed under the name Mus spicilegus (steppe mouse). Its description in RNAcentral is "lncRNA (ENSMSIG00000025687.1)". Lineage: Eukaryota; Metazoa; Chordata; Mammalia; Rodentia; Muridae. The record is from RNAcentral.